GACGAACGCUGGCGGCGUGCUUAACACAUGCAAGUCGAACGGAAAGGCCCCUUUGGGGGUACUCGAGUGGCGAACGGGUGAGUAACACGUGAGUAACCUGCCCUUGACUUCGGGAUAACUUCAGGAAACUGGGGCUAAUACCGGAUAGGAAUCCUUGCUGCAUGGUGGGGGUUGGAAAGCUUCGGCGGUUUUGGAUGGACUCGCGGCGUAUCAGCUUGUUGGUGGGGUAGUGGCUUACCAAGGCUUUGACGGGUAGCCGGCCUGAGAGGGUGACCGGCCACAUUGGGACUGAGAUACGGCCCAGACUCCGACGGGAGGCAGCAGGGGGGAAGAUUGCACAAUGGGCGGAAGCCGGAUGCAGCAGCGCCGCGUGCGGGAGGACGGCCUUCGGGUUGUAAACCGCUUUCAGCAGGGGCGAAGCUUGUGGUGACGGUACCUGCAGAAGAAGCACCGGCUAACUACGUG
Molecule: ribosomal RNA, 465 nt
Filed under: uncultured bacterium
Lineage: Bacteria
Description: partial 16S ribosomal RNA
Rfam family: Bacterial small subunit ribosomal RNA
Source: RNAcentral